This 75-nucleotide microRNA precursor is filed under the name Myotis davidii. RNAcentral's name for it is "mir-9229 microRNA precursor family". It matches the Rfam family "mir-9229 microRNA precursor family". The record is from Rfam by way of RNAcentral. Lineage: Eukaryota; Metazoa; Chordata; Mammalia; Chiroptera; Vespertilionidae.
AGACACCCUUAUAGGACAAGACUUGCUUCAGUGAGGCUUCCGUGCUCACUGAGUCUGUUCCCUGAGUGUGUCCCU